This 464-nucleotide ribosomal RNA is filed under the name uncultured Cenococcum. RNAcentral describes it as "eukaryotic LSU rRNA". It matches the Rfam family "Eukaryotic large subunit ribosomal RNA", at positions 1 to 462 of the family's 3401-position model. Lineage: Eukaryota; Fungi; Ascomycota; Dothideomycetes; Gloniales; Gloniaceae. The record is from RNAcentral.
UUGACCUCGGAUCAGGCAGGGAUACCCGCUGAACUUAAGCAUAUCAAUAAGCGGAGGAAAAGAAACCAACAGGGAUUGCCUCAGUAACGGCGAGUGAAGCGGCAACAGCUCAAAUUUGAAAUCUGGCUCUUUUAGGGUCCGAGUUGUAAUUUGUAGAGGAUGCUUCGGCGUCGGCUCCGGUCUAAGUUCCUUGGAACAGGACGUCAUAGAGGGUGAGAAUCCCGUAUGUGAUCGGUUGCCCUUGCCAUGUGAAGCUCCUUCGACGAGUCGAGUUGUUUGGGAAUGCAGCUCUAAAUGGGAGGUAAAUUUCUUCUAAAGCUAAAUACUGGCCAGAGACCGAUAGCGCACAAGUAGAGUGAUCGAAGAUGAAAAGCACUUUGGAAAGAGAGUCAAAAAGUACGUGAAAUUGUUGAAAGGGAAGCGCUUGCACCAGACCUGCCUGCAGUUGCUCAUCCGGGCUUUUG